GGGCGCUUAGCUCAGCGGGAGAGCACCGUCUUCACACGGCGGGGGUCACUGGUUCAAUCCCAGUAGCGCCCACCA
This 75-nucleotide transfer RNA is filed under the name Pseudomonadota bacterium. Its description in RNAcentral is "Proteobacteria bacterium tRNA-Val". It matches the Rfam family "tRNA". From Rfam's summary of the family: Transfer RNA (tRNA) molecules are approximately 80 nucleotides in length. Their secondary structure includes four short double-helical elements and three loops (D, anti-codon, and T loops). Further hydrogen bonds mediate the characteristic L-shaped molecular structure. tRNAs have two regions of fundamental functional importance: the anti-codon, which is responsible for specific mRNA codon recognition, and the 3' end, to which the tRNAs corresponding amino acid is attached (by aminoacyl-tRNA synthetases). tRNAs cope with the degeneracy of the genetic code in two manners: having more than one tRNA (with a specific anti-codon) for a particular amino acid; and 'wobble' base-pairing, i.e. permitting non-standard base-pairing at the 3rd anti-codon position. The record is from RNAcentral. Lineage: Bacteria; Pseudomonadati; Pseudomonadota. RNAcentral also lists the same sequence under 2 other names.